AGCGAACGCUGGCGGCGUGCUUAACACAUGCAAGUCGAGCGAAGGUGUUUCAAGGGUAACCUUGAGAUACACUUAGCGGCGGACGGGUGAGUAAUACGUGGAUAACUUACCUCUAGGCCUGGGAUAACCCCGGGAAACUGGGGCUAAUACCUGAUAAGACCACAUUGUCUACGGACAAAGGGGUAAAAGGUGGCUGUGCAAACAGCUAUCGCCAAAAGAUAGGUUCACGUCCCAUCAGGCAGUGGUGAGGUAAUGGCUCACCAAACCAAAGACGGGUAGCCGGCCUUGGCGGGUGAACGGCCACACGGGGACUGAGACACGGCCCCGACUCCUACGGGAGGCAGCAGUGGGGAAUAUUGGGCAAUGGGCGCAAGCCUGA
RNAcentral lists this ribosomal RNA (379 nucleotides) under uncultured bacterium. RNAcentral's name for it is "bacterial SSU rRNA". It matches the Rfam family "Bacterial small subunit ribosomal RNA", at positions 29 to 386 of the family's 1533-position model. The record is from RNAcentral.